This 253-nucleotide ribosomal RNA is filed under the name uncultured bacterium. RNAcentral describes it as "partial 16S ribosomal RNA". It matches the Rfam family "Bacterial small subunit ribosomal RNA", at positions 524 to 776 of the family's 1533-position model. The record is from RNAcentral.
UACAGAGGUGGCAAGCGUUGUUCGGAAUUACUGGGCGUAAAGGGCGCGUAGGCGGCUCGAUAAGUCUUGCGUGAAAUCCCCCGGCUCAACUGGGGAACUGCGCGGGAAACUGCCGGGCUUGAGUUCGGGAGAGGGAAGCGGAAUUCCGGGUGUAGCGGUGAAAUGCGUAGAUAUCCGGAGGAACACCGGUGGCGAAGGCGGCUUCCUGGACCGACACUGACGCUGAGGCGCGAAAGCUAGGGGAGCAAACGGG